RNAcentral lists this small RNA (138 nucleotides) under Bacillus sp. (in: firmicutes). RNAcentral describes it as "Bacillus sp. c-di-AMP sequence". It matches the Rfam family "c-di-AMP riboswitch aptamer (ydaO/yuaA leader)". Rfam says of the family: This family represents a conserved RNA structure found upstream of the ydaO and yuaA genes in Bacillus subtilis and related genes in other bacteria. The ydaO/yuaA element is thought to act as a genetic "off" switch for the ydaO and yuaA genes in its native state. It is believed that the element may be triggered during osmotic shock leading to activation of ydaO, a predicted amino acid transporter gene, and members of the yuaA-yubG operon which code for KtrA and KtrB K+ transporters. RNAcentral also lists the same sequence under 1 other name. The record is from RNAcentral. Lineage: Bacteria; Bacillati; Bacillota; Bacilli; Caryophanales; Bacillaceae.
AUUUUUAUACAGUCUAAUCCCGAAAGGGAAUGGAGGAACCAUUUUUUGGGGGUUAUUUCUACAGAUUUGUAGAAGGGAUGUGAAACUCUUUCGCCAUCCUAUCCGUCGCUAACUUCGUCGACUAAAGCGAAGGAGGUC